This 439-nucleotide ribosomal RNA is filed under the name uncultured bacterium. Its description in RNAcentral is "partial 16S ribosomal RNA". It matches the Rfam family "Bacterial small subunit ribosomal RNA", at positions 339 to 795 of the family's 1533-position model. The record is from RNAcentral.
CUACGGGAUGCACCAGUGGGGAAUAUUGCACAAUGGGGGAAACCCUGAUGCAGCAACGCCGCGUGGAGGAUGACACAUUUCGGUGCGUAAACUCCUUUUAUAGGUCAAGAUAAUGACGGUAGCCUAUGAAUAAGCGCCGGCUAACUCCGUGCCAGCAGCCGCGGUAAUACGGAGGGCGCAAGCGUUACUCGGAAUCACUGGGCGUAAAGAGCAUGUAGGCGGGUUAAUAAGUCAGAAGUGAAAUCCAAUAGCUCAACUAUUGAACUGCUUUUGAAACUGUUAACAUAGAGUGUGGGAGAGGUAGAUGGAAUUUCUGGUGUAGGGGUAAAAUCCGUAGAGAUCAGAAGGAAUACCGAUUGCGAAGGCGAUCUACUGGAACAUUACUGACGCUGAGAUGCGAAAGCGUGGGGAGCAAACAGGAUUAGAUACCCGUGUAGUC